UUUGAAAAUGCUAAGAGAUCUCAGGACUACAGAAGAGAAAUGAUAUUGAAGGUUGAAGGUGACUGCAGUUGGGUUGCUGCUGGAAGAUAUCCUCUGGGACAUCCACAUCAGUGCCUGAUGCCAGCUCUUAGGAGAGAAACAAACAUUGCAGCUGUGUCUUUCAGGAAACUUUGGGCAAAUAGGAACUUGAAACUUACCUCUACUGUUUAUUUAAGAAAUGCUGAGGCAUUUCCUAAUGGUGCCUUCUAAACAGCUUCUUUUCUUGAAGACAUUAUUUAGACAAUAUCUCUGAAGAGCUGAAAUUGAAAGCAAUUUAUGAUUAUUAUUAACUACAGUUUAUGUUACAGCAUCACUAUAAACCUAUGAGAUUUGGUCCUGGAUCUGGGGCCCAUCAGCCAAACACUGUACAGGAAGAGACAAAAAAAGGUGCCUGAUAAGCACAUCAAUACUUUAAGAAAGCAUGAAGUUUUGACAGACCCAGAGUGAAAGGGUAGCUUGUGGCAGGGAGCAUUGUGCUGUGCCCAUAACUAAUGUGGCUCAGCUGUGGUGGGGUGGAAGAGCCAGGAUGCUCUUUUCUGUAUUCAGAAACUGCAGAAGGACCAGGGACAAGCAGUUCUCGAGCUUCACACCAAGGAACCUUUGCUUUCAGAGCCUAGAGCUGGAAAUGACUCCUGAGAAUAACAUUUGUUUUCACAAAGACCCUUUUUUUUAGUGGGAAUACCUCUGCAGGAGGACUGUCAUGGCUGCUCCUGCAAGUAAAUCAAAGCCUGAACACUCAGCUACACUGAUAAGAGGGAGACAGAGCAUGUGCCUAUGUUUCCAGGAAAAGGAGACUCCUGUAGUGGCAAAGACUGGAUGCUGGUCAUCUCGGGUACCAGGAGGACAUCUCCUGCCCCACCUGCAGAUCUGCAGCCUCAGGAAGGGGAUCAGUGUCCUGGUAAUAAAGCGGUGCCUGACAACUGGGUCCAUGAAGCCUCCAAACCAUUGGCACCUGAGCCCUCCCAACACAGGUGACUGAGGAACAAAUCAAGAGAGGGACACUCUGCUGGACCUGACACCUAAAAAAAAGGAAGAAUGUGUCCAGGUUGUGAAGUUCUGGGGGGCAGCCGUGGCUGCAGCAACCAUGAGAUGGUGAAAUUCCAGAUCCGGAGAAGAGGGAGUAAGGCAAGUAGCAGGAUACCAACCCUAGACUUCAGAAGAGCAAACUUUGGCCUGUUCAGGGUUCCGCUUUGAAGAAAACCAUGGGAUAUAGUCCUGCAGAGAAGGAUACAGGGGUCAGUUCUCAAGGAUCACUUCCUUCAAGCUCAAGACCAGCUCUUCUCUGUGUGUAGACAGUCAGGCAAAAGUGCCAGGAGGUGUGCAUGAAUGAAAAAGGAACUCCUUGCAUAUCUGAAAUAUAACCAUAGAGUCAUAGAAUAUCCUGAGUUGGAAGGGACUCACAAAGAUCAUUGAGUCCAACUCCUGGGUCCCCAAAGGACCACCCAAAAAUUCAGGCCACAUGUCUGUGAGAGCAUUGUCCAAGUGCCUCUUGAACUCUGGCAGGCUCAGUGCCGUGAGCACUGCCCUGGCGAGCCUGUCCCACCACCCUCUGGGUGCAGAACCUUUCCCUAACCCCCAGCCUGACCCGCCCCUGUCCCAGCUCCAUGCCGUUCCCUCCGGUCCUGUUGCUGUCCCCAGAGAGCAGAGCUCAGCGCCUGCCCCUCCGCUCCCCUCGUGAGGGAGCUGCAGGCUGCCAUGAGGCCUCCCCUCAGCCUGCUCUGCUCUGCACUGAACAAACCAAGGGACCUCAGCCUCUUUGCAUACGUCUUGCCCUCUAGACCUUUCACUAUCUUUGUAGCCCUAUUAAAAAGGAAGUGGAAGCAGGGACAAAUCACACUGGAGAAAUAUGGAUAGAGACACUAUUUGAGUGUGCAGGGAUGGGAUUAAGAAAGCCAUAACCUGCACUGAGCUGAAUCUUGUGAUAGAUGUGAUGUGGAAAAAAAUAAAAGUUUUCUACACUUAAAACA
Molecule: long non-coding RNA, 2006 nt
Filed under: Anas platyrhynchos platyrhynchos (common mallard)
Lineage: Eukaryota; Metazoa; Chordata; Aves; Anseriformes; Anatidae
Description: lncRNA (ENSAPLG00000026779.1)
Source: RNAcentral